Molecule: small nucleolar RNA, 129 nt
Filed under: Homalodisca vitripennis (glassy-winged sharpshooter)
Lineage: Eukaryota; Metazoa; Arthropoda; Insecta; Hemiptera; Cicadellidae
Source: RNAcentral
AGCCAAAGUGUUGAGUAUGUACAGAUGUGUUCAUCUGUGCAAUAAUUAAACUUUGGCAUAUUAAAAUCAUGGAUUCAUUAAUGAAUAGCCGCAUACAUGUGGUGCUUCAUUGAAGUACAUGAUACAAUA